AUUGAACGCUGGCGGCAGGCCUAACACAUGCAAGUCGAACGGCAACAGGAAGAGGCUUGCUUCUUAGCUGACGAGUGUCGGAGGGGUGAGAAAUGUCUGGGGAACUGUCUGUUGGAGGGGGAUAACUACUGGAAACGGUAGCUAAAAUAGCAUAAAGUCGCAAGAGCAAAGAGGGGGACCUCCGGGCACCUUGCCCUCGGAAGUGCCCCGAUGGGGUAUGCUAGAAGUUGGGGUAACGGCUCCCACAGGGGACACGACCCAGCGGGUCUGUGAGGGUGACCACCCCCACUGUGGCUGAGACACGGUCCAGACUCCUACGGGAGGCAGCGGUGGGGAAUAUUGCGCAAUGGGCGCGAGCCUGAUGCCGCCAUGCCGCGUGUAUGAAGAGAGCCUUCGGGUUUUAUAGUACUUUUUUCGGGGGGGAAAAGAGUAGAGUUUUUAUCUUUGCUCAUUGACGUUACCCGCAGAAGAUGCGCCGGCUAACUCCGUG
Molecule: ribosomal RNA, 490 nt
Filed under: uncultured bacterium
Lineage: Bacteria
Description: partial 16S ribosomal RNA
Rfam family: Bacterial small subunit ribosomal RNA
Source: RNAcentral